UACGAAGGGGGCUAGCGUUGUUCGGAUUUACUGGGCGUAAAGCGCACGUAGGCGGAUCUUUAAGUCAGAGGUGAAAUCCCAAGGCUCAACCUUGGAACUGCCUUUGAUACUGGGGAUCUUGAGUCCGGGAGAGGUGAGUGGAACUGCGAGUGUAGAGGUGAAAUUCGUAGAUAUUCGCAAGAACACCAGUGGCGAAGGCGGCUCACUGGCCCGGUACUGACGCUGAGGUGCGAAAGCGUGGGGAGCAAACAGGG
RNAcentral lists this ribosomal RNA (254 nucleotides) under uncultured bacterium. Its description in RNAcentral is "partial 16S ribosomal RNA". It matches the Rfam family "Bacterial small subunit ribosomal RNA", at positions 524 to 777 of the family's 1533-position model. The record is from RNAcentral.